GGUCCCUCUUGGGUGCUCACCUCUGAAGUCUAGUUACCGGAGUUCCUUGUGAGGGUGAUCCUUCAGUUUUAACAUGGUAUGGACAAGACACUGCUGACGGGAAUGGACUUCAAAAGAAAAGAACAAGACAAGGGAUCAGGAAUCUCCCUGCUAGAUACAGUGGAAACAUCUUGCUUUAACAGGUAUUGGAUCCCACUUCAAAUAAAAAACAAUGUAUAUCUUUAAGAAUAAUACCUAUACAGUUCAUCUUGUAUAAGGACUAAACACACGGAAUAGCGCCGGGUAACCACGGUAACAAGGAUAUGCGUCACAGGAAGUGACGCGACGGAGUAUUAGAAAGAUCACCGGGUUACCAUGGAAACCAAGAAGCGAUACGUAAGGAGAAGGGUAACGAGUUUACAGGACAUACACAGGGAGGACCAGGCAACACGUAAAGAACGGGAAGCGCGUCACUGGAAGUGACGUGACGGGAGGAGAACACGGCCCGGGUUGCCAUGGAAACCGGAUGAUACACAUAGUCACAGCCAAUAGGGAGCAGCACAGCACGGGACCAUGGGACGUAUAGAUGAUUUCUGUAUAGGGUCCACCUGUGUUCCUUGGCAAGUGAUUGGACAGUGACCAUUUAAAUAUGCUGGGAAUGGGAGAGUUAUUCAUUCACCAGGAUACCUUGAAAAAGACCCCAGAUUGGGGUGGAAAUGCGUCGGUAGCCUCCAGAUGUGAAGGGAACGCGGAGUUUGAAACCUGGUGACCAGAGCGGUUUAUUGAUUGGACUAGUGUUGGUCUAUAUCAACCAUUCAUGCGCUGUUUGGGACUGUUUGGCCACAGUUCCAUUCAUCUCCGGUAAUUUCUCUGCAUUUACCUUGCACCAGGAGUUCAAUUGGUGUUUUAUUUUAACUCAUUAUUGUAUACACAGCAUUUUAUUGUAACUUUUAGAAUUUGUAUUAAAACAGACUUCACUAUUA
Pseudophryne corroboree (corroboree frog) is the source of this 962-nucleotide long non-coding RNA. RefSeq lists it as uncharacterized. The transcript has 2 exons. The record is from RefSeq and is a predicted model, not a curated record. NCBI's taxonomy places the organism in Eukaryota, Metazoa, Chordata, Amphibia, Anura, Myobatrachidae.